GGUGGCCUGGUUCCUGGUGUUGGAGGUGUCCCAGGUGUUGGAGGUCCUGCAGCAGCAGCCAAAGCAGCAGCCAAGGCAGCCAAAUUUGGUGAGUCAGCCUGGGGAGCCCCUCAGGCUCCCUACCAGCCCUGGUGUGGCUCUGACCCAUGCAGGGGAUGCUGGGCAUGGGCACCCAGGCCUGGCACAUGAUCCCACACGAGCACAGGAUCUCUCACCCCUUUCCCGCAGGUGCCGGGGUUGGAGGGGUGCCAGGGGUGGUGCCUGGCGUGGGCGGAGUGCCCGGAGUGGCACCCGGUGUUGGUGGCGUGCCCGGAUUGGUGCCAGGGGUGGGAGUACCUGGAACUGGCAUCCUUCCCGGGGCAGGCAUCCCCCAAGUAGGGGUGCAGCCUGGUGCUAAACCUCCCAAAUUCGGUGUUCCUGGGGUUGGAGUCCCAGGGGUUGGUGGCCUCCCAGGUAAGUGCUGGCAGGAGCUGAGCCCAGGCAGUGGGGAUGUGUGGGCAGAAGGAUGCUCCCGUCGAGGGGCGGAGCUGGAGGGAUGCUCCCUCUGGGCACGGCGGGGAGCGGGGCUGCCCGAGAAAGGAUGAGCACACUUGGGAGUGGCUGCGGAGUGGGUCAGACACUGGGGACACUGCCUGUCCCUGCUGGUGCUCACCCGGGCUACUCCUUGUAGGUGGCCUUGGCGUCGGUGGGCUCGGAGUUGGUGGCCUCGGUGAGUGAUGCUGGUCCCGCUGUGGGGCUCCAGGGCUGGGCUGCAGGGAGCAGCAGCAGCAGCAGCAGCAGAGAGCUGGCAGAGCCAUGAAAAGGAAAGGGAGUCUGUGGGUCACUUCUGUCCCCUCCCAGUCUCACAGCACAAUCCCACCCUGCACUGUCACUGUCCCCUGUUGUGUUUGUCACCUGCCCUGUUCCCAGGGGGUGAUCCAAAGGAAUUGCCAUUGCUGAGCAGGGACUGAGGGCCACAGCCCCAGCCUUGCCCAUGCCAUGGGAACAGGGGAUGGUACUGUACCCUGUCCCCAACGUGUGAAGAUGCAGGUCCCUCCUGGGACCCUCUGGGCCCCUCCUGAAGGGUCUGGGUGUGGCCCUGGGGCAGUGAGUCCGGGCAGGGGCUGCCCUGGUGCCCCCCUCUGACUUAGGACUCUUGUAUCCAGGAGCUGCUGGGAAACCUCCCAAGCCAGGUAAGGGACAGCCAGAGGGGCUGGAGGAGUGACUCCAGUGCCUGUCCCCAUCCACAUUCCCAUGGCUGUGCUCACGCUCCCCACCCUCACUGGGGCUCACCCACCUGCAGGUUUUGGUGCUGGGGGGCUGCAGCCAGGUGAGUGCUGCACUUUGGGGCUGGCCUGGCAGUGUGUCCCCUAUCCUGCCACACUCGUCCCCGCUUGCUGUCCCCGUGCUGCUGCCAUUCCCUGCUGAGCACCAGCUGCCUGGGAGAGCACUGGGAAGCCAGAGAGGUGCCAGGGUGGGGACGGCGGCUUUUGCAUCAGCUCCUGUCCCUGGAGUGAGCACGGGAUCCCAGCCAGGCUGUCCCCAGUGCACGCUAGAGUGGCACCGCUGUCACCGGCUGUCACUGGCUGUUGCUUUUUCCCCAGG
Molecule: long non-coding RNA, 1584 nt
Filed under: Zonotrichia albicollis (white-throated sparrow)
Lineage: Eukaryota; Metazoa; Chordata; Aves; Passeriformes; Passerellidae
Description: lncRNA (ENSZALG00000003403.1)
Source: RNAcentral